AGAUUGAACGCUGGCGGUAUGCUUAAUACAUGCAAGUCGAGCGGCCACUUCGGUGGCAGCGGCGGACGGGUGAGUAACGCGUGGGAAUGUGCCCUUUGGUACGGAACAACUGAGGGAAACUUCAGCUAAUACCGUAUGUGCCCUUCGGGGGAAAGAUUUAUUGCCAUUGGAGCAGCCCGCGUUGGAUUAGCUAGUUGGUGGGGUAAAGCCCACAAGGCGACGAUCCAUAGCUGGUCUGAGAGGAUGAUCAGCCACACUGGGACUGAGACACGGCCCAGACUCCUACGGGAGGCAGCAGUAGGGAAUCUUGCGCAAUGGGCGAAAGCCUGACGCAGCCAUGCCGCGUGAAUGAUGAAGGUCUUAGGAUUGUAAAAUUCUUUCACCGGGGAAGAUAAUGAACGGUACCCGGAGAAGAAGCCCGCUAACUUCGUGCCAGCAGCCGC
Molecule: ribosomal RNA, 443 nt
Filed under: uncultured soil bacterium
Lineage: Bacteria
Description: bacterial SSU rRNA
Rfam family: Bacterial small subunit ribosomal RNA
Source: RNAcentral